Molecule: long non-coding RNA, 468 nt
Organism: Equus caballus (horse)
Lineage: Eukaryota; Metazoa; Chordata; Mammalia; Perissodactyla; Equidae
Source: RefSeq, a predicted model, not a curated record
CACGAGCAACAGACAUUGGAUUUGACUAGACUUAGACAGUCUGAGUCUCACAAAAUUCUUUCUGCACUGACCACAGGGUGGUUGAGAUGUGGAUGUGUGUCGAAGACAGAGAGCCUGUGAGGAAUGAAGAAGAAACCAGGAGCCGGGGUUGAGGUGCCGGUGCACGUGCGGCCCCAGUGGACAGAGUCAGUGGGCGUCUGAAGUUCUCACCCUCCUCCUUACCAGGAGCCCAUCAUGUCUGCAAGAUCUUUUUUUCUAAGUGAAGAGUCCUUCUGCCCUUUUGCCCACUACCCCUGCUUCCCUGAUGUGGAGGUCUUUCCCCCAGUGAUGGAGUCUCUGGGGCCCUUGUCCUAAAGCAACUGCCAUGGCCCGCAGGACUUAUUUCUGGAAUGUGAAUGGCUGAAUCAAGGACCAUGGACACUGAGGAGGAUUCGAAAUACAUCAUAAUAAACAUCAUUUCAUUGUUUA